Molecule: non-coding RNA, 63 nt
Organism: Streptomyces sp. HCCB10043
Lineage: Bacteria; Bacillati; Actinomycetota; Actinomycetes; Kitasatosporales; Streptomycetaceae
Source: Rfam
CGCCCGGCCGGAUCCCGUGGGGGGAAUCCGCUCCGGGAUAUGGGAAGCGCCCCGACCGUCGAC